GUGGGGAAUAUUGGGCAAUGGGCGAAAGCCUGACCCAGCAACGCCGCGUGAAGGAAGAAGGUUUUCGGAUCGUAAACUUCUAUCCUAGGUGAAGAUAAUGACGGUAGCCUAGAAGGAAGCCCCGGCUAACUACGUGCCAGCAGCCGCGGUAAUACGUAGGGGGCAAGCGUUGUCCGGAAUGAUUGGGCGUAAAGGGCGCGUAGGCGGCCUUCUAAGUCCGAUGUGAAAGUCCUGCUUUUAAGGUGGGAAUUGCAUUGGAAACUGGAGGGCUUGAGUGCAGGAGAGGUAAGUGGAAUUCCCGGUGUAGCGGUGAAAUGCGUAGAGAUCGGGAGGAACACCAGUGGCGAAGGCGACUUACUGGACUGUAACUGACGCUGAGGCGCGAAAGUGUGGGGAGCAAACAGGAUUAGAUACCCUUGUAGUCC
RNAcentral lists this ribosomal RNA (425 nucleotides) under uncultured bacterium. Its description in RNAcentral is "partial 16S ribosomal RNA". It matches the Rfam family "Bacterial small subunit ribosomal RNA", at positions 354 to 796 of the family's 1533-position model. The record is from RNAcentral.